Molecule: ribosomal RNA, 420 nt
Filed under: Fusobacteriota bacterium
Lineage: Bacteria; Fusobacteriati; Fusobacteriota
Description: Fusobacteria bacterium partial 16S ribosomal RNA
Rfam family: Bacterial small subunit ribosomal RNA
Source: RNAcentral
UGGGGGAUAUUGCACAAUGGGCGAAAGCCUGAUGCAGCGACGCCGCGUGGGGGAUGACGGCCUUCGGGUUGUAAACUUCUUUUGCUCUGAACAAGGCAUGCCUUUGGGGUGUGUUGAGUGUAGGGGUUGAUUAGCGCCGGCUAACUACGUGCCAGCAGCCGCGGUAAUACGUAGGGCGCGAGCGUUGUCCGGAAUUAUUGGGCGUAAAGGGCUUGUAGGUGGCUGGUUGCGUCUGUCGUGAAAGCUCAUGGCUUAACUGUGGGUUUGCGGUGGGUACGAGCUGGCUUGAGUGCAGUAGGGGUGGCUGGAAUUCCUGGUGUAGCGGUAGAAUGCGCAGAUAUCAGGAGGAAUACCGGUGGCGAAGGCGGGUCUCUGGGCUGUUACUGACGCUGAGGAGCGAAAGCGUGGGGAGCGAACAGG